Molecule: non-coding RNA, 72 nt
Organism: Phrynosoma platyrhinos (Desert horned lizard)
Lineage: Eukaryota; Metazoa; Chordata; Lepidosauria; Squamata; Phrynosomatidae
Source: the annotation of a GenBank genome assembly
GCCAGUGUGGUGAAGUGGUUUGAGUGUUGAACUGCAACUUUGGAGACCAGAGUUCAAAUCCCUGCUUAGCCA